Molecule: ribosomal RNA, 478 nt
Filed under: uncultured bacterium
Lineage: Bacteria
Description: partial 16S ribosomal RNA
Rfam family: Bacterial small subunit ribosomal RNA
Source: RNAcentral
GAUGAACGCUGGCGGCGUGCUUAACACAUGCAAGUCGAGCGAGAAAAGUUCUUUGGAGCUUUUCUAGCGGCGGACGGGUGAGUAACACGUGGGCAACCUGCCUCAUAGAGGGGAAUAGCCUCCCGAAAGGGAGAUUAAUACCGCAUAAGAUUGUAGCUUCGCAUGAAGUAGCAAUUAAAGGAGCAAUCCGCUAUGAGAUGGGCCCGCGGCGCAUUAGCUAGUUGGUGAGGUAACGGCUCACCAAGGCGACGAUGCGUAGCCGACCUGAGAGGGUGAUCGGCCACAUUGGGACUGAGACACGGCCCAGACUCCUACGGGAGGCAGCAGUGGGGAAUAUUGCACAAUGGGGGAAACCCUGAUGCAGCAAUGCCGCGUGAGUGAUGACGGCCUUCGGGUUGUAAAGCUCUGUCUUCAGGGACGAUAAUGACGGUACCUGAGGAGGAAGCCACGGCUAACUACGUGCCAGCCGCCGCGGUAA